GCCUGGCGCGGCUUAGCGGGUUCCAGCGGGUUUUAUCAUCUCAAAUUCUGCCAUUCUCAAAAUCCCCCGCCGCAAGGCGUGCCGGUUCGAUUCCGGCCCCGGGCACCA
RNAcentral lists this transfer RNA (108 nucleotides) under Bordetella petrii. RNAcentral describes it as "tRNA-OTHER". The record is from RNAcentral. Lineage: Bacteria; Pseudomonadati; Pseudomonadota; Betaproteobacteria; Burkholderiales; Alcaligenaceae.